This 501-nucleotide ribosomal RNA is filed under the name uncultured bacterium. RNAcentral's name for it is "partial 16S ribosomal RNA". It matches the Rfam family "Bacterial small subunit ribosomal RNA", at positions 29 to 523 of the family's 1533-position model. The record is from RNAcentral.
AUUGAACGCUGGCGGCAUGCCUUACACAUGCAAGUCGAACGGCAGCACGGGUGCUUGCACCUGGUGGCGAGUGGCGAACGGGUGAGUAAUACAUCGGGACGUACCUUAUCGUGGGGGAUAACGCAGCGAAAGCUGUGCUAAUACCGCAUACGCCCUGAGGGGGAAAGCGGGGGACCGCAAGACCUCGCGCGAUUAGAGCGGCCGAUGCCUGAUUAGCUUGUUGGUGGGGUAAAAGCCCACCAAGGCGACGAUCAGUAGCUGGUCUGAGAGGACGAUCAGCCACACUGGGACUGAGAAACGGCCCAGACUCCUACGGGAGGCAGCAGUGGGGAAUUUUGGACAAUGGGGGCAACCCUGAUCCAGCAAUGCCGCGUGAGUGAAGAAGGCCUUCGGGUUGUAAAGCUCUUUUGUCAGGGAAGAAACACCGGCUCUAACACAGUCCGGGAAUGACGGUACCUGAAGAAUAAGCACCGGCUAACUACGUGCCAGCAGCCGCUGUAA